This 408-nucleotide ribosomal RNA is filed under the name uncultured bacterium. Its description in RNAcentral is "partial 16S ribosomal RNA". It matches the Rfam family "Bacterial small subunit ribosomal RNA", at positions 29 to 526 of the family's 1533-position model. The record is from RNAcentral.
AGUGAACGCUGGCGGCGUGCCUAAUACAUGCAAGUCGAACGGAGUGGCGCACGGGGGAGUAAUGUUUAGCUAAUCUAACCUACACUAGAGGACAACAGUUGGAAACGGCAGCUAAUACACUAUAGUGUAGGAUGAGGCUAUAUUGUAUCAGCUAGUUGUUGAGGGAAUGGUUCACCAAGGCUAUGACGCAUAACUGGUCUGGGAGGAUGAUCAGUCACCCUGGAAGUGAGACACGGUCGAGACUCCUACGGGAGGCAGCAGUAGGGAAUAUUGCUCAAUGGGGGAAACCCUGAAGCAGCAACGCCGCGUGGAGGAUGACACUUUUCGGAGCGUAAUCUCCUUUUGAUAGGGAAGCGGUACCUAACGAAUAAGCACCGGCUAACUCCGUGCCAGCAGCCGCGGUAAUUC